UGACGGAAUCUCUAGGGUUGGAACCCAAGAAAUGACAGGUUCAAAAUUCUCCCCAGGUGAUUCUGAAGGCAGCCGGUCUAUGGGCCCACAAUUGGGAGCCCCUGGAGCAGCACAGCUGUAUCUUAUUGAGAAGGGAGCACAGACUCAGUAAAAGCCUUGCGUUGUUAGUCCUGCACUGCUUACAAGAGAUGCGACUCCAGCUCCAGAUCAUCAAAGAGCCCACAUAUCACAGUAUUAGAGUGAUUGGGUGAUGUGUAUCUCGCCGCCCGGUCCGACAGACCCAGACGCCCAGAGGACAGAUCUGCUCUCUCACCUUUGCGGGUCCUGAUACACCUAUGAUACCGCUUUGCCCACAAGAUAGGAAACCUGAGGUUCAGAGCGCUUCCUGAAAAGGCCAGCCUCCAGCAACAUCUGUCCCAGGGGCCAGGCAGGUGGAGAUGCCGGCAGUGGACACCAGCAGAGAAGUAAACCAGAUGUGCCAAGAAGUAUAUAGGACUGGAAGGAGGGAUGACUUCCCCAGCACCAGAAUGCAGCCAACCAGGAGAAAGGACUUCUCCACCCCUGGCAGCCGCCAAGGAACUGGGAGGCCAGAGGCAAGAACACUAUGUUCAGUUACAAGAUAUAUUCCACUCUGUAGCCAUUUGUAUUAGUGUUCUAUUGCUGCCAUAACAAAUUACCAUAACUGUAGCAACUUAAAACACAAAGAUACUGCGUUUUAGUUCUGAGAGUCAGAAGUCCCAUGAGACCCACUGGACUGAAACCACCGCCUCAGCAGAGCUGUGUUCCUUUGAGUAGGCUCAGGGGAGAAUCCAUUCCUUUGCGCAUUCAGGAGUUAGCAGUGCCCAGGGGUUGUAGGACUGAGAUCGCUGUUUCCUUGCUAGCUCUCAACUGGAAAAUGCUGUCUCCUUCACUCUCUCUGGUCCUUACAUGUAGCUCUUUAUAUCUCAGAACCAGCAACAGUUGCAUGGAACUCUGCUCACACUGCCUCUCUUCUUCCAUAGUCACGUUUCUCCCUCUGACCGCGCCUGGGGAAGGCUGGCUGCUUUGAAGGACUCAGGUGAUUAGAAUAGGCCCACCUGAAUAAUCCAGGCUAGCCUCUCCGUCUCAAGGGCCAUAACAUCGACACACCUGCAAAACCCCUUUCACCACAUAAGGUUAACAUAUUCACAGGUCCUUGGGACUAUGAUGAGAACUUUGGGGGGUUGUUAUUCUGUCUUCCACACCAUUAUAUAUUCAACAAGUAUUUAUGUAGUGCCUUAAUGGGCCAGGGACAAUGCUAGGUGCAGACUUAAGAUGUCAGCAUCGGGGGCGUUAGUCUGGGCAGAGAAUCUGGGAGUGGGGUGCGCACCCCUGGACACCUGUCUUCCUGCUCCUUUGCAGUACUCCAGGGGGCACCAUCUAUGUCAAACACAAUGUGGAUUGUACCCC
Molecule: long non-coding RNA, 1428 nt
Organism: Equus caballus (horse)
Lineage: Eukaryota; Metazoa; Chordata; Mammalia; Perissodactyla; Equidae
Source: Ensembl